RNAcentral lists this ribosomal RNA (450 nucleotides) under uncultured bacterium. RNAcentral's name for it is "partial 16S ribosomal RNA". It matches the Rfam family "Bacterial small subunit ribosomal RNA", at positions 354 to 796 of the family's 1533-position model. The record is from RNAcentral.
GUGGGGAAUUUUGGACAAUGGGCGCAAGCCUGAUCCAGCCAUGCCGCGUGAGUGAAGAAGGCCUUCGGGUUGUAAAGCUCUUUCGGCCGGGAAGAAAUCGGCGACUCUAACAUAGUCGCUGGAUGACGGUACCGGACUAAGAAGCACCGGCUAACUACGUGCCAGCAGCCGCGGUAAUACGUAGGGUGCGAGCGUUAAUCGGAAUUACUGGGCGUAAAGCGUGCGCAGGCGGUUUUGUAAGACAGAUGUGAAAUCCCCGGGCUUAACCUGGGAACUGCGUUUGUGACUGCAAGGCUAGAGUACGGCAGAGGGGGGUGGAAUUCCUGGUGUAGCAGUGAAAUGCGUAGAUAUCAGGAGGAACACCGAUGGCGAAGGCAGCCCCCUGGGCCUGUACUGACGCUCAUGCACGAAAGCGUGGGGAGCAAACAGGAUUAGAAACCCUGGUAGUCC